AAUUAUUCUAUCAGUCAAUACAGAGUCAACAAUUUCCUUCAGUGCCCAGCAGAAUUACAAACACCUAAACCUGUUUUUAACAGGCAUGAAGAAGCAGAACCUACCAUGGAUUUUCUGCACAGAAAAAAGGUGUGAAUUUCCACCUGAGCAUCCCUCUCCAGCACAGCAAGCAGGACACUGAGCAUUUCUGUGCUCCAUUAAUCCCACAGCAGCAGCAGGCUGGGGGCCAGGCACUGUUUGUGGUUUGGUGCCACUGGGAAAACGUGGAAUGAGUGUCUGCUGUCCUUUCCCCACUCCUGCUCCCUGCAAAAGAACAUCAAGCUGGUUGUUUUUCUUUCCUACCUGGUGAAACGAGCUGACGUGAUUUGGGAAAUGACAUCCAGCUGAAAGGCAAUAGGAUGAACAGAGCUGGCUGCAGUUCUACAUAGAAUAAACUGCAUGAAUGGAGGGGAUGUGGUUUUCCCCCCUCUGCUCCAGCUAACACCAAGGAAGAGAAUGCAACAAUCUGCAUGGAAUAGCUUUGGACUGAUCUACAAAGAACAAAAUAAUAUUUCAUAAUAAUGUUCCAAAUGUUAAAGAAUUUUUCCUGCCAAAACCUCUCUUCUGUAAGUGCCCCAGCAUCAUCAACUGAUGGCAGCACAGCUCUGGGAAUAAACACUUUCAGCUAAUGGCAGGAAUUGUCAGGGGAAACACGAAACAGGUAUUUCUCCCUGACACAGAAUGAAACAUAUGAUUAAAGUUAAAUGCCAAAUCCUAGCAGCACUGGAGAGGAUUAAGGUUUAUUUUUCAUUCCUGGUA
RNAcentral lists this long non-coding RNA (798 nucleotides) under Ficedula albicollis (Collared flycatcher). RNAcentral's name for it is "lncRNA (ENSFALG00000019423.2)". The record is from RNAcentral. Lineage: Eukaryota; Metazoa; Chordata; Aves; Passeriformes; Muscicapidae.